AUUGAACGCUGGCGGCAGGCUUAACACAUGCAAGUCGAGCGGAGUGAUGGUGCUUGCACUAUCACUUAGCGGCGGACGGGUGAGUAAUGCUUAGGAAUCUGCCUAUUAGUGGGGGACAACAUCUCAAAAGGGAUGCUAAUACCGCAUACGUCCUACGGGAGAAAGCAGGGGAUCACUUGUGACCUUGCGCUAAUAGAUGAGCCUAAGUCGGAUUAGCUAGGUGGUGGGGUAAAGGCCUACCAAGGGGACGAUCUGUAGCGGGUCUGAGAGGGUGAUCGGCCCAACUGGGACGGAGACACGGCCCAGACUCCUACGGGAGGCAGCAGGGGGGAAUAUUGGACAAUGGGGGGAAGCCGGAUCCAGCCAUGCGGCGUGUAUGAAGAAGGCCUUAUGGUUGUAAAGCACUUUAAGCGAGGAGGAGGCUCUUUUGGUUAAUACCCAAGAUGAGUGGACGUUACUCGCAGAAUAAGCACCGGCUAACUCUGUGCCAGCCGCCGCAGUAA
This 503-nucleotide ribosomal RNA is filed under the name uncultured bacterium. RNAcentral's name for it is "partial 16S ribosomal RNA". It matches the Rfam family "Bacterial small subunit ribosomal RNA", at positions 30 to 523 of the family's 1533-position model. The record is from RNAcentral.